This 478-nucleotide ribosomal RNA is filed under the name uncultured bacterium. RNAcentral describes it as "partial 16S ribosomal RNA". It matches the Rfam family "Bacterial small subunit ribosomal RNA", at positions 28 to 523 of the family's 1533-position model. The record is from RNAcentral.
GUCGAACGCUGGCGGCGUGCUUAACACAUGCAAGUCGAACGGUAAGGCCCUUCGGGGUACACGAGUGGCGAACGGGUGAGUAACACGUGGGUGAUCUGACCUGCACUUCGGGCUAAGCCUGGGAAACUGGGUCUAAUACCGGAUAGGACCACUGCCUGCAUGGGUGGUGGGGGAAAGCUUUUGCGGUGUGGGAUGGGCCCGCGGCCUAUCAGCUUGUUGGUGGGGUGAUGGCCUACCAAGGCGACGACGGGUAGCCGGCCUGAGAGGGUGCCCGGCCACACUGGAACUGAGAUACGGCCCAGACUCCGACGGGAGGCAGCAGUGGGGAAUAUUGCACAAUGGGCGCAAGCCUGAUGCAGCGACGCCGCGUGAGGGAUGACGGCCUUCGGGUUGUAAACCUCUUUCAGCACCGACGAAGCGCAAGUGACGGUAGGUGCAGAAGAAGUACCGGCCAACUACGUGCCAGCCGCCGCAGUAA